AUUGGAAACUGAGGUGACACCUGAGGAGUCAUGGCCAGGUACCCAAAGGUCCCUCAGAAGAAACUAGCUCCCAACAGCCCAUCUGGGUAAUCAGCAGAAAAUCUCCACAUCUUGUCCUAUCUGGACUCCUCUGGGAGGUAAACCAGGAACUCGGUCAGUGAUCAUCAGAUAUCCUCUGUCUCGGAGUGAUCUGAAACAAUGCCAUCAGCGCCCUUUGUUAAGCCUCCAUUAAGAGCUGAGCUACAGCCUGCCCCUGAAAAAUAACACAGUUCUCAAUAGUAUUUAAUUCAAGGCACUUCCCUCCUCUGUGGCUGCUGGAUUUCAAGACAAAACUUGCAGAAUGACUUAAAAGCUGUGCAGCUACCAAGAUGACAAUGACAGGUGCCUACCGGAGGCCUUUAGAUAGACUCUCUGUAGAAUAAUUUGAACUGCUGAUCACAGCUAUGAACCUCUUCAGCUGGAGUAACCAGAGCUGUCUUCGUCCUUUACCCCCUCACAGUGGUUAGGGGUGCAUAGGAGACGGGAUCUGAAAGUGUCUGGAACGUGCCCAGGGAGGCAAAGGCAGUGGGAAUCAAGGCUGUUUGCUUGGAAGUCUUCUGAGAUUGUGCUUGUGCAAUCCUGUCCAGCCAAGUUCAGCUUCUCCUGCUCUGUUGCCGGAAAUCUAUCCUUGCUCAUCCAGUCCGAUUCCCUCAUGAUUUCCCAUGAAACUUUCCCAAACUUUUCUACUUCUCCCAAAUCAAAUCAACUCUCUCAUUCUUGCCAAAUCCUGGCAAGAUCCAAAUACUGUCCUCUGUCUUGUCUGACAGAACUUCCAGAUUUUUAUUUUACAUGCACUUCAUUUUGCUCUCAG
This 850-nucleotide long non-coding RNA is filed under the name Fukomys damarensis (Damara mole-rat). RNAcentral's name for it is "lncRNA (ENSFDAG00000022610.1)". The record is from RNAcentral. Lineage: Eukaryota; Metazoa; Chordata; Mammalia; Rodentia; Bathyergidae.